This 497-nucleotide ribosomal RNA is filed under the name uncultured bacterium. RNAcentral's name for it is "partial 16S ribosomal RNA". It matches the Rfam family "Bacterial small subunit ribosomal RNA", at positions 28 to 507 of the family's 1533-position model. The record is from RNAcentral.
GAUGAACGCUGGCGGCGUGCCUAAUACAUGCAAGUCGAGCGAACAGACGAGGAUCUUGCUCCUCUGACGUUAGCGGCGGACGGGUGAGUAACACGUGGAUAACCUACCUAUAAUACUGGGAUAACUUCGGGAAACCGGAUCUAAUACCGGAUAAUAUAUUGAACCGCAUGGUUCAAUAGUGAAAGACGGUUUUGCUGUCACUUAUAGAUGGAUCCGCGCCUCAUUAGCUAGUUGGUAAGGUAACGGCUUACCAAGGCAACGAUGCGUAGCCGACCUGAGAGGGUGAUCGGCCACACUGGAACUGAGACACGGUCCAGACUCCUACGGGAGGCAGCAGUAGGGAAUCUUCCGCAAUGGGCGAAAGCCUGACGGAGCAACGCCGCGUGAGUGAUGAAGGUCUUCGGAUCGUAAAACUCUGUUAUUAGUGAAGAACAAAUGUGUAAGUAACUAUGCACGUCUUGACGGUACCUAAUCAGAAAGCCACGGCUAACUACGUG